RNAcentral lists this ribosomal RNA (409 nucleotides) under uncultured Ornithinibacter sp. Its description in RNAcentral is "bacterial SSU rRNA". It matches the Rfam family "Bacterial small subunit ribosomal RNA", at positions 355 to 776 of the family's 1533-position model. The record is from RNAcentral. Lineage: Bacteria; Bacillati; Actinomycetota; Actinomycetes; Micrococcales; Intrasporangiaceae.
UGGGGAAUAUUGCACAAUGGGCGAAAGCCUGAUGCAGCGACGCCGCGUGAGGGAUGAAGGCCUUCGGGUUGUAAACCUCUUUCAGUAGGGAAGAAGCGCAAGUGACGGUACCUACAGAAGAAGCACCGGCUAACUACGUGCCAGCAGCCGCGGUAAUACGUAGGGUGCGAGCGUUGUCCGGAAUUAUUGGGCGUAAAGAGCUUGUAGGCGGUUUGUCGCGUCUGCCGUGAAAAUCCGGGGCUCAACUCCGGACUUGCGGUGGGUACGGGCAGACUAGAGUGUGGUAGGGGAGACUGGAAUUCCUGGUGUAGCGGUGAAAUGCGCAGAUAUCAGGAGGAACACCGAUGGCGAAGGCAGGUCUCUGGGCCACUACUGACGCUGAGAAGCGAAAGCGUGGGGAGCGAACAGG